Long non-coding RNA from Gasterosteus aculeatus aculeatus (three-spined stickleback), 776 nucleotides. Lineage: Eukaryota; Metazoa; Chordata; Actinopteri; Perciformes; Gasterosteidae. The record is from Ensembl.
CGCACGUGGAACAAGCCGAGGCGGAGGCGAGCGACCACGAUUCCUCAAAUGUCUCCCCGCGAUCCCGCGAGGAACCUGCUGAUCACCUGAUCCAAAUGAGGCGGGGAAGGGAAACUCCUUGCCUUGAUCCGUGCGCGAGGAAAACAAAACCCCCUCAAAAAAACAGGAGGACUCGUAGAACCGCGGCAGUUGCGCUGCUAAUCUUGCGUAGCCGCGUCUCUGGCUUUCGCAUUACAGCGUCGGAUAAACAAGACGGCGUCGACUCGUGGUGGUUUCUCUCUUGUCGGCGUCGCACACAUCUGACCUCCGGUGACAAACGCCCAACUUUGCAUUUGCUGAAAGGAACAAAGGCCGAACGACGAGACGGUGCAAUAAAAACAACCGGAUCGAAGGCAACUGGAAGUGAUGAAGGACUCGCUCACACUUACGUCGACGCGCGUUUCGAAUCACAGUGAUGUACGAUCCGCGGCCAUCAGCCAGGCCGACAUUGAUCAGGAGCGGCUGCCAGCGCGCCGUCAAAUCAAUCACGGCGAUUGAUUCAGCAGCUCGAGGAGAAUGCAUGAAUGCAUGAAUGCAUGAAUGCACGGCGCAGGGUUUAACGUUGAGCACCGCAAGAAGAACACGUCGAUGUGACGUUAACAACCAUCACCCUUGAUCAUGACGGUAUCGGUAUCAUAUUAUUAAUAAGUCAGAGAAGGUUGAUCCGAAUCUCAGGGGACGGGUUUGGAGGAGAGACGAGCGGCUGCACGUCCCGACACACACUGGCGAGAGUGAUC